This 489-nucleotide ribosomal RNA is filed under the name Pichia kudriavzevii. RNAcentral describes it as "LSU rRNA". It matches the Rfam family "Eukaryotic large subunit ribosomal RNA", at positions 61 to 562 of the family's 3401-position model. Lineage: Eukaryota; Fungi; Ascomycota; Pichiomycetes; Pichiales; Pichiaceae. The record is from RNAcentral.
GAAACCAACAGGGAUUGCCUCAGUAGCGGCGAGUGAAGCGGCAAGAGCUCAGAUUUGAAAUCGUGCUUGCGGCACGAGUUGUAGAUUGCAGGUUGGAGUCUGUGUGGAAGGCGGUGUCCAAGUCCCUUGGAACAGGGCGCCCAGGAGGGUGAGAGCCCCGUGGGAUGCCGGCGGAAGCAGUGAGGCCCUUCUGACGAGUCGAGUUGUUUGGGAAUGCAGCUCCAAGCGGGUGGUAAAUUCCAUCUAAGGCUAAAUACUGGCGAGAGACCGAUAGCGAACAAGUACUGUGAAGGAAAGAUGAAAAGCACUUUGAAAAGAGAGUGAAACAGCACGUGAAAUUGUUGAAAGGGAAGGGUAUUGCGCCCGACAUGGGGAUUGCGCACCGCUGCCUCUCGUGGGCGGCGCUCUGGGCUUUCCCUGGGCCAGCAUCGGUUCUUGCUGCAGGAGAAGGGGUUCUGGAACGUGGCUCUUCGGAGUGUUAUAGCCAGG